CAGCAGCCGCGGUAAUACGUAGGGUGCAAGCGUUAAUCGGAAUUACUGGGCGUAAAGCGUGCGCAGGCGGUUCGCUAAGACAGAUGUGAAAUCCCCGGGCUUAACCUGGGAAUGGCGCUUGUGACUGCAAAGCUAGAGUGCGGCAGAGGGGGAUGGAAUUCCGCGUGUAGCAGUGAAAUGCGUAGAUAUGCGGAGGAACACCGAUGGCGAAGGCAAUCCCCUGGGCCUGCACUGACGCUCAUGCACGAAAGCGUGGGGAGCAAACAGGAUUAGAUACCCGCGUAGUCCCUGUCUCUUAUAC
RNAcentral lists this ribosomal RNA (301 nucleotides) under uncultured bacterium. Its description in RNAcentral is "partial 16S ribosomal RNA". It matches the Rfam family "Bacterial small subunit ribosomal RNA", at positions 509 to 807 of the family's 1533-position model. The record is from RNAcentral.